RNAcentral lists this ribosomal RNA (371 nucleotides) under uncultured bacterium. RNAcentral describes it as "bacterial SSU rRNA". It matches the Rfam family "Bacterial small subunit ribosomal RNA", at positions 525 to 896 of the family's 1533-position model. The record is from RNAcentral.
ACGUAGGGUGCAAGCGUUAAUCGGAAUUACUGGGCGUAAAGCGUGCGCAGGCGGUCCUUUAAGACAGAUGUGAAAUCCCCGGGCUUAACCUGGGAACUGCAUUUGUGACUGAAGGGCUAGAGUACGGCAGAGGGGGAUGGAAUUCCGCGUGUAGCAGUGAAAUGCGUAGAUAUGCGGAGGAACACCGAUGGCGAAGGCAGUCCCCUGGGCCUGUACUGACGCUCAUGCACGAAAGCGUGGGGAGCAAACAGGAUUAGAUACCCUGGUAGUCCACGCCCUAAACGAUGUCAACUGGUUGUUGGGUCUUCACUGACUCAGUAACGAAGCUAACGCGUGAAGUUGACCGCCUGGGGAGUACGGCCGCAAGGUUG